GGCUCUGUUGCUCAGGGGUUAGAGCACUGGUCUUGUAAACCAGCGGUCAUGAGUUCAAAUCUCAUUAUAGCCU
Protopterus annectens (West African lungfish) is the source of this 73-nucleotide non-coding RNA. The record is from the annotation of a RefSeq genome assembly. Lineage: Eukaryota; Metazoa; Chordata; Ceratodontiformes; Protopteridae.